RNAcentral lists this ribosomal RNA (2923 nucleotides) under Klebsiella pneumoniae. Its description in RNAcentral is "bacterial LSU rRNA". It matches the Rfam family "Bacterial large subunit ribosomal RNA". RNAcentral also lists the same sequence under 1 other name. Lineage: Bacteria; Pseudomonadati; Pseudomonadota; Gammaproteobacteria; Enterobacterales; Enterobacteriaceae. The record is from RNAcentral.
GGGUUGUGAGGUUAAGCGACUAAGCGUACACGGUGGAUGCCCUGGCAGUCAGAGGCGAUGAAGGACGUGCUAAUCUGCGAAAAGCGUCGGUAAGGUGAUAUGAACCGUUACAGCCGGCGAUGUCCGAAUGGGGAAACCCAGUGCAAUUCGUUGCACUAUCGUUAACUGAAUACAUAGGUUAACGAGGCGAACCGGGGGAACUGAAACAUCUAAGUACCCCGAGGAAAAGAAAUCAACCGAGAUUCCCCCAGUAGCGGCGAGCGAACGGGGAGCAGCCCAGAGUCUGAAUCAGCUUGUGUGUUAGUGGAACGGUCUGGAAAGUCCGACGGUACAGGGUGAUAGUCCCGUACACCAAAAUGCACAGGUUGUGAACUCGAAGAGUAGGGCGGGACACGUGGUAUCCUGUCUGAAUAUGGGGGGACCAUCCUCCAAGGCUAAAUACUCCUGACUGACCGAUAGUGAACCAGUACCGUGAGGGAAAGGCGAAAAGAACCCCGGCGAGGGGAGUGAAAAAGAACCUGAAACCGUGUACGUACAAGCAGUGGGAGCACCUUCGGGUGUGACUGCGUACCUUUUGUAUAAUGGGUCAGCGACUUAUAUUCUGUAGCAAGGUUAACCGUAUAGGGGAGCCGCAGGGAAACCGAGUCUUAACUGGGCGUUAAGUUGCAGGGUAUAGACCCGAAACCCGGUGAUCUAGCCAUGGGCAGGUUGAAGGUUGGGUAACACUAACUGGAGGACCGAACCGACUAAUGUUGAAAAAUUAGCGGAUGACUUGUGGCUGGGGGUGAAAGGCCAAUCAAACCGGGAGAUAGCUGGUUCUCCCCGAAAGCUAUUUAGGUAGCGCCUCGUGAACUCAUCUUCGGGGGUAGAGCACUGUUUCGGCUAGGGGGUCAUCCCGACUUACCAACCCGAUGCAAACUACGAAUACCGAAGAAUGUUAUCACGGGAGACACACGGCGGGUGCUAACGUCCGUCGUGAAGAGGGAAACAACCCAGACCGCCAGCUAAGGUCCCAAAGUCAUGGUUAAGUGGGAAACGAUGUGGGAAGGCACAGACAGCCAGGAUGUUGGCUUAGAAGCAGCCAUCAUUUAAAGAAAGCGUAAUAGCUCACUGGUCGAGUCGGCCUGCGCGGAAGAUGUAACGGGGCUAAACCAUGCACCGAAGCUGCGGCAGCGACACUAUGUGUUGUUGGGUAGGGGAGCGUUCUGUAAGCCUGCGAAGGUGUGCUGUGAGGCAUGCUGGAGGUAUCAGAAGUGCGAAUGCUGACAUAAGUAACGAUAAAGCGGGUGAAAAGCCCGCUCGCCGGAAGACCAAGGGUUCCUGUCCAACGUUAAUCGGGGCAGGGUGAGUCGACCCCUAAGGCGAGGCCGAAAGGCGUAGUCGAUGGGAAACAGGUUAAUAUUCCUGUACUUGGUGUUACUGCGAAGGGGGGACGGAGAAGGCUAUGUUAGCCGGGCGACGGUUGUCCCGGUUUAAGCAUGUAGGCUGAUUGUCCAGGCAAAUCCGGAUAAUCAAGGCUGAGGUGUGAUGACGAGGCACUACGGUGCUGAAGUAACAAAUGCCCUGCUUCCAGGAAAAGCCUCUAAGCAUCAGGUAACAUCAAAUCGUACCCCAAACCGACACAGGUGGUCAGGUAGAGAAUACCAAGGCGCUUGAGAGAACUCGGGUGAAGGAACUAGGCAAAAUGGUGCCGUAACUUCGGGAGAAGGCACGCUGGUGUGUAGGUGAAGUCCCUGCGGAUGGAGCUGAGACCAGUCGAAGAUACCAGCUGGCUGCAACUGUUUAUUAAAAACACAGCACUGUGCAAACACGAAAGUGGACGUAUACGGUGUGACGCCUGCCCGGUGCCGGAAGGUUAAUUGAUGGGGUUAUCCGUAAGGAGAAGCUCUUGAUCGAAGCCCCGGUAAACGGCGGCCGUAACUAUAACGGUCCUAAGGUAGCGAAAUUCCUUGUCGGGUAAGUUCCGACCUGCACGAAUGGCGUAAUGAUGGCCAGGCUGUCUCCACCCGAGACUCAGUGAAAUUGAACUCGCUGUGAAGAUGCAGUGUACCCGCGGCAAGACGGAAAGACCCCGUGAACCUUUACUAUAGCUUGACACUGAACAUUGAGCCUUGAUGUGUAGGAUAGGUGGGAGGCUUUGAAGCGUGGACGCCAGUCUGCGUGGAGCCAACCUUGAAAUACCACCCUUUAAUGUUUGAUGUUCUAACGUUGGCCCCUGACCGGGGUUGCGGACAGUGUCUGGUGGGUAGUUUGACUGGGGCGGUCUCCUCCCAAAGCGUAACGGAGGAGCACGAAGGUUAGCUAAUCCUGGUCGGACAUCAGGAGGUUAGUGCAAUGGCAUAAGCUAGCUUGACUGCGAGCGUGACGGCGCGAGCAGGUGCGAAAGCAGGUCAUAGUGAUCCGGUGGUUCUGAAUGGAAGGGCCAUCGCUCAACGGAUAAAAGGUACUCCGGGGAUAACAGGCUGAUACCGCCCAAGAGUUCAUAUCGACGGCGGUGUUUGGCACCUCGAUGUCGGCUCAUCACAUCCUGGGGCUGAAGUAGGUCCCAAGGGUAUGGCUGUUCGCCAUUUAAAGUGGUACGCGAGCUGGGUUUAGAACGUCGUGAGACAGUUCGGUCCCUAUCUGCCGUGGGCGCUGGAGAAUUGAGGGGGGCUGCUCCUAGUACGAGAGGACCGGAGUGGACGCAUCACUGGUGUUCGGGUUGUCAUGCCAAUGGCACUGCCCGGUAGCUAAAUGCGGAAGAGAUAAGUGCUGAAAGCAUCUAAGCACGAAACUUGCCCCGAGAUGAGUUCUCCCUGAGACUAUAAGUCUCCUGAAGGAACGUUGAAGACGACGACGUUGAUAGGCCGGGUGUGUAAGCGCAGCGAUGCGUUGAGCUAACCGGUACUAAUGAACCGUGAGGCUUAACCUUACAACGCCGAAG